GAUGAACGCUGGCGGCGUGCCUAAUACAUGCAAGUCGAGCGAACGGACGAGAAGCUUGCUUCUCUGAUGUUAGCGGCGGACGGGUGAGUAACACGUGGAUAACCUACCUAUAAGACUGGGAUAACUUCGGGAAACCGGAGCUAAUACCGGAUAAUAUUUCGAACCGCAUGGUUCAAAAGUGAAAGACGGUCUUGCUGUCACUUAUAGAUGGAUCCGCGCUGCAUUAGCUAGUUGGUAAGGUAACGGCUUACCAAGGCAACGAUGCAUAGCCGACCUGAGAGGGUGAUCGGCCACACUGGAACUGAGACACGGUCCAGACUCCUACGGGAGGCAGCAGUAGGGAAUCUUCCGCAAUGGGCGAAAGCCUGACGGAGCAACGCCGCGUGAGUGAUGAAGGUCUUCGGAUCGUAAAACUCUGUUAUUAGGGAAGAACAUAUGUGUAAGUAACUGUGCACAUCUUGACGGUACCUAAUCAGAAAGCCACGGCUAACUACGUGCCAGCAGCCGCGGUAAUACGUAGGUGGCAAGCGUUAUCCGGAAUUAUUGGGCGUAAAGCGCGCGUAGGCGGUUUUUUAAGUCUGAUGUGAAAGCCCACGGCUCAACCGUGGAGGGUCAUUGGAAACUGGAAAACUUGAGUGCAGAAGAGGAAAGUGGAAUUCCAUGUGUAGCGGUGAAAUGCGCAGAGAUAUGGAGGAACACCGGUGGCGAAGGCGACUUUCUGGUCUGUAACUGACGCUGAUGUGCGAAAGCGUGGGGAUCAAACAGGAUUAGAUACCCUGGUAGUCCACGCCGUAAACGAUGAGUGCUAAGUGUUAGGGGGUUUCCGCCCCUUAGUGCUGCAGCUAACGCAUUAAGCACUCCGCCUGGGGAGUACGACCGCAAGGUUGAAACUCAAAGGAAUUGACGGGGACCCGCGCAAGCGGUGGAGCAUGUGGUUUAAUUCGAAGCAACGCGAAGAACCUUACCAAAUCUUGACAUCCUUUGACAACUCUAGAGAUAGAGCCUUCCCCUUCGGGGGACAAGGUGACAGGUGGUGCAUGGUUGUCGUCAGCUCGUGUCGUGAGAUGUUGGGUUAAGUCCCGCAACGAGCGCAACCCUUAAGCUUAGUUGCCAUCAUUAAGUUGGGCACUCUAAGUUGACUGCCGGUGACAAACCGGGGGAAGGUGGGGAUGACGUCAAAUCAUCAUGCCCCUUAUGAUUUGGGCUACACACGUGCUACAAUGGACAAUACAAAGGGCAGCGAAACCGCGAGGUCAAGCAAAUCCCAUAAAGUUGUUCUCAGUUCGGAUUGUAGUCUGCAACUCGACUACAUGAAGCUGGAAUCGCUAGUAAUCGUAGAUCAGCAUGCUACGGUGAAUACGUUCCCGGGUUC
RNAcentral lists this ribosomal RNA (1372 nucleotides) under uncultured bacterium. RNAcentral's name for it is "bacterial SSU rRNA". It matches the Rfam family "Bacterial small subunit ribosomal RNA", at positions 28 to 1381 of the family's 1533-position model. The record is from RNAcentral.